ACUGGUUUGUUGGGGAAUAACCUAGAAACUGUUGUCAGGUACCAGUUUGUAGGGGAGUAACCUAAAAACUGGUGCUAGGGGCUGGAUUGUUGUGGGAGUAACCUGGAAACUGGUGCUACGGGCUGGCGUGUUAGUUACCUUGAGUUCAACCCUCAGUCAGAUUCUCUAAUAUGGAGUCUGACCCUAAGAUCUGGCUAUUCACUACUGUGACAAAAUGCUGACCAAAACCAACUUGCAGGGAAAGGGAGUUAAUACAGUUUAUAGGCUACAAUCAGCUACCACCAGGAAAAGCUGUAACUGGAGCUCAAGGCAGUGCUCUGGAGACAGGAACUGAGGUGUCCAAGAAGGUAGGCUGCUUGCUGGCUUGCUCUCUGGAUUGCUCAGCUAGCUUCCUUAACAGCUCUGUUAAACCUAGGAAUGUCGGACACUCCUACAUCAAUUAGCAAUGAAGAAAAUACCAUACAAGCAUACCCGCAAGCCUGUCUGAUCAAGACAAUAUCUUUGGCUGAAGUGACUUCUUCCAAGUCUCUUCACAGAUUCACGAAAGUUUGGUUUGUUGUGUGAAACAUUUAGUUUAGCCAAGGCUCUUGCUACGGCUCCUGAUGUACCUAUCCACUGGAACUUGGUGAAGUCACCACUGAGGAAACAUCUGAAGUCAGUGGCCCAACUGCCAGAUCACAGUAAUGAUGCUCAAUGAGUGUGAACCAUGAGAAGUGUGACAACUCACUCAAGAUUGUAGGCAAUACUUCCUGAACCACCAACUGCUUAUCCCCCUGGCCAACAUUACCAGGGAAAACUUUGUCACUGUAGAAGGACUCAUGACCACAGUACACAUCAUCACUGCCACCAGAAGAACAUAUAUGACCCAUUAAAAAAGUUAUGGGGUUGGUCAGAACAUCAUUCUUGCAUCCACUGGUGCUGCCAAGUCUGUGGGCAAGGUCGUCCCAGAACUGAACAAGAAGCUCACUGACAUGGCCUUCCAUGUUUCUACCCACAACGUGUCUAUUGUGGAUCUGAUAUGCUGCUUCGAAAGAGUUGCCCAAUAUAAUGUCAUCAUGAAUGUGAUGAAGCAGGUGUCCAAGGUCCCACGAAAGGGCCUCCUGGGCUACACUGAGGACCAGAUUAUGUCCUGUGAAUUUAACAGUGACUCCUAUUUUCUACCUGUGUUGGUAGAGCUGGCAUUGUUCUCAAUGACAACUUUGUAAAGCUUAUUUCCUGGUAUGACAAUGAAUUAUGGCUACAGAAACAGGGUGGUGAACCUCGUUACUUCCAUGUCCUCCAAGGAAUAAAAAGCCCUGGACCACCCAUGCUACCAAGGAUCUGAGCGCAAGAGAGAGAUCCUUGACUUCUGAGGAGUCCCUUUCCCAGCUUAGUCUCAGACCUGAGCAUCUAUAUCCCAGUUUCCUUCCUAGACCCCAGUAAUAAUGGGAAGACCCUAGAUUUUAUUCUCUUGAAUACCAUCAAUAAAAUUCACUGCAUCAACAAAAGAAAGAAAGAAAGAAACAAAGGAACAAACAAAGAACAAAUAAGUUGGCCUUAAGACGGAGGUGCUCUGCCUGCAUCUCAGAGGACCAGUUUUUUACUAGACAGAUUUACCAGUAAUUUUAUUCUCUUUCUUUUCUAGGAUACAAGUCUUUUUGAUGGCGUUGUUUUCUUCGUGGAAUCUGGUUUUUGUAAUCAUAUCAAAUAAAAGGAAUUGUUUUUAUUGCACACUUAACCUUGUAGGACUUACCCCUCAUAAUUCUAUGUCUGAGUUAAUUCACAGUGGCAUAAUAAAGACAUUAGUCAUUGUCUUAUUACUUCUAUUUCUGCUACUGAGAAUUCAAUUUUUUGUCAUCUGUUUAUAGGUGACCUGAUUCUGUGAAGAUAGAACAUUUUCACUACCCUGAGGUCUGCUUUUACUUUCAUAAAGUCUUACUAAGAACAUUUUGGGUUAAAUAUGUAUUUCCCCUUUGGGGAAAUCAUGAAACUUUCUGUAAAGUAUCUUAUUUCUUAACUUUCUCAUUGAAGUUUUCUGUUUAUAUUUACACCUAAAUAAAUUCUUUCACAUUUUAA
Non-coding RNA from Rattus norvegicus (Norway rat), 2055 nucleotides. The record is from RefSeq and is a predicted model, not a curated record. Lineage: Eukaryota; Metazoa; Chordata; Mammalia; Rodentia; Muridae.